RNA transcript from Fukomys damarensis (Damara mole-rat), 569 nucleotides. It is a transcript of the gene named chromosome unknown CXorf66 homolog, with no coding region annotated. The transcript has 4 exons. NCBI's taxonomy places the organism in Eukaryota, Metazoa, Chordata, Mammalia, Rodentia, Bathyergidae. The record is from RefSeq and is a predicted model, not a curated record.
CUUCAGUUAGAUGUCGAUAAAGAAGCACCAUGGACUGGGUAGUAUACAAACAGCAGAAGUUUCUUCCCUACAGUUCUGGAGGCUGCAAGUCUGAGGUCAGAGUAUCCCCAUGAUCAGAUUCUGAAGAGGACCUUCUUCUAGGUUGCAGACUGAACCUCAGGGGAAGGACAUGAAAAGGAAUAAGAAAGGCUAUUGGACUUGCUGAGUUCUACAGGACAGGACCAUGUAGCUAUUUGUUGCAAACACAGUAUAUUCUUCAAGGAGUUAAGACUCUUGAUGAUAUAAAAGAAGAAAAACUAGAAGAUGAUACGAAGAAUUUACUCAAAGCUUUAAUUGUUGUGAUCGUGAUCAUAUCGGUGUUACCUCCGAUGUGUUUCUGCCUUACCCAUCACAACUGCAUGAUUGAACCCGUCGAAAACAUCGAAAAUGCCAGAUAACUUUCUGAUUCAAAUGAAAUGAUGUCUUUUGCGAGAUUCUUUCAUAAGGCUCCCCCAAAUAAUUAAGCGCUAAAAAACAAGAAAAUCUAACUAUAAAGGAACAAAUUCAUACCAACUGUUUUAUGCUUGCCA